Molecule: transfer RNA, 76 nt
Filed under: bacterium
Lineage: Bacteria
Also listed under: 13 other names
Description: tRNA-His
Rfam family: tRNA
About the family: Transfer RNA (tRNA) molecules are approximately 80 nucleotides in length. Their secondary structure includes four short double-helical elements and three loops (D, anti-codon, and T loops).
Source: RNAcentral
GUGAUCGUAGCUCAGUUGGUAGAGCCCCGGAUUGUGAUUCCGGCCGUCGUGGGUUCGAGUCCCAUCGGUCACCCCA